Small nucleolar RNA from Molossus molossus (Pallas's mastiff bat), 131 nucleotides. RefSeq annotates it as small nucleolar RNA SNORA71. The transcript has a single exon. NCBI's taxonomy places the organism in Eukaryota, Metazoa, Chordata, Mammalia, Chiroptera, Molossidae. The record is from RefSeq and is a predicted model, not a curated record.
UCCUGCAUCUGAAAGUGAUCGUGGGCUGCCUAUGCCCUGGUCAUUGAUAGUGCAGGGAGAGAAGCUGAAAGGAGUUUUCCAGGUGUCUGAAGCAUCCAGCUGUCCUUUCCAAAUCCUGGGGCUUUCACACA